RNAcentral lists this ribosomal RNA (243 nucleotides) under uncultured bacterium. Its description in RNAcentral is "partial 16S ribosomal RNA". It matches the Rfam family "Bacterial small subunit ribosomal RNA", at positions 524 to 765 of the family's 1533-position model. The record is from RNAcentral.
UACGAAGGGGGCUAGCGUUGCUCGGAAUCACUGGGCGUAAAGGGUGCGUAGGCGGGUCUUUAAGUCAGGGGUGAAAUCCUGGAGCUCAACUCCAGAACUGCCUUUGAUACUGGCGACCUUGAGUCCGGGAGAGGUGAGUGGAACUGCGAGUGUAGAGGUGAAAUUCGUAGAUAUUCGCAAGAACACCAGUGGCGAAGGCGGCUCACUGGCCCGGUACUGACGCUGAGACGCGCAAAGCGUCGG